UCAUGAUUACAACCCGACGUUUGACGCUCAACCCUAGCCCUUCCCUUGUAGCUCUCUAGUCUCAAUUGCAACCGGUAAUCCCCAACUCUCACCUCAUCCCUGUGUAGCUCAUUGGUUCUACGACCAUCACCAAGCUUUCUCAAGUUAAUUUCUUCCUAAUUUUCUCUUUCUAUUUAGGUUUCAAUUUUCGCUUGUGCUCUUUCUUAGCAAUGGGGUUAAACCAUAGGUAGAAUGGUUGUUUUCUGUUUGGAAAUAGUUUAUGAAUAUCUUCUUUGGUACAAUUCUUUAUGAUUCUCAUGUCAAUGGUUUAUUUUGGGGUUUUGUGGGGAAUUUUGAUUUUGUGGGAGUGGGUUUGAUAGGUUUACAAGUUCAAAGAAUUUUGUAGAAAUGCUCAAAGGUUUUGUCGAUGCAUUUGUGUGAUUCGGUUCUGGCUUUGAGGAACCAUUUAUGUGAUUUUGAGGGUUUUUUUCUGCCUGCUUAGGUUGUUUUUUGUUGCCCUGUACUGUGUCAUUCACUUGUCCAAUGAUCAGAGUGAAGCUCUGUCAUUCACUUGUACUUGGUUGCUGGAAACAAUCUUUUAAUCAAAUGUAUGUGUGUACGUGUGUGAAGUAAUAAUAAAAAAUAAAAUUAUUCCUUCCAAGCAUGAGGAGUUUGAUUCUUAUGUAUAAUUUUGUUAAGAAACUGUUUAAGAGUUUGAUCGGACAAAUUUAUCAAGAUAGAUGAGUUGAAACAGGUGGGAAAUGGAAUUAUGGUGUAAAGUGGAAAUGUCCCCCACAGGUUAGCUGGAAUUAGAUGAUGUUUCAACAACUAGAGAAAAUAUACCUUGUUAAAGCAUGCAUGAUCUAUGGUUGAUGGUAUUGGCCCCGGUUCUUCUUAGUCUGAAUUUUGGCCAGAAAAUCCUAGUGAAGUUGAAUGUAUUAUUGAGAAAUAUAUGAAAGAGGAAUGAAAAUUGGGGAAAUAGGGCAUCGAAUUAAUCGGAUGUUCUUGGUUCUUGAAAUCAAGAAAAAGAAGGUAGCCCUUGAGCUGCUAAAGUUGUAGGAAGAAAUUGCCAACACGAAGGGGCAGACUUUAGAGGGUGGAGUAGAUGAGUUUCCCUAAGCAGAAUUGAUGGAAAUUAUUGGUAAAUUGUGUAAGAAGCUUGAAAAAGUGGAGAAUAUAACUGAUUUCAAAAAGGGAGAAACUAAUUUUAUGAAUGAGCCUACUGUGCACUGGUCUCAUAUGUAGGGUUUGUUUGCAAUUCAGCCACUUGAUAUCCAUGUGCCCAUGCAAGGCAUCUUAGAAUAUGAUUUAGGUUUUUAUAUCAAGGCUUUGAAGAGGUAGAAUAUGGUUUGGGGUUUUUAGAUAAAGGCAUUAGAACUGUGGUAUAUGAUCUGGAUUUUCUUUUUAUCCUCUAAUACUUGCUUUGGUUCCCAAGAGAAUGCUAGAUUGCAUAUUUUGAUGAUAUCAUGUACUAAACCGUGCCUAAUACUAUUUAGCUUAAUUUAGGUGGAAUUUUCUUCCUAAGGAACCAUAAAAAUAUACAUGGGGUUCAAAUGUUUUGGUAGCUUCAUCUGUUUCAUAGUAAUUUCAACAUUUAAAACCAAUCCAUUAUAUAACCGAAAUGAAUAUAAUGAUUGUUUUCUUUUAUUUGCUUAUUUUACUGUUAAAAUCAAGAUAGAUGAGUACUGUCCUAUAGUCCUAUUUGUUAGCUUGUAACAAUCAGCAAUGGUAAGCUAGGUACUUAACGUAGCCCAGUUAGGCCAAUAGUGUGAGAACUAGAAAUUAUCAUAGAUAUUGUCUCCCAACCUAAGAGAGAUAUUUGUGCCUAAGUAAAGAAUCAGAUGCUUAGUAAUUAAAUAAAGAGAAUUUUACAAAAAGACUUAUCUAACUAAGCCAUAGGGGUAUCCAAAACACCCUCAAGUAGUGAACCAGUGAUGCAGAUUCAAUUGGAUAAUGGAAUUAUUCAAGCCUUAGUUCUAAUGUUGAUGUAGAAGGCUUUUUGAAGCCUGAAUUUACAAGGCAGACAUAUAAUUUAAUGAAGGAUUAUGCAUGAUCUCCCUUGAUUAUAGCACUGGAGGCAUCAUUGGAUUUUGCUGAAUCCUGUUUAUGGUUUAUCAAGUCGGAGAUGCAAAUAGAAAUUCUAGUAUUUGACCUUUAGCAUCAUGAUUCCAAUGCAUGGACCAUGCUCUAUUUAAGCAUUUAUUGCCUUUGUCACUUGUAGGUCUCAAGGUGUAAUAGUUUUUCAUAUCCAUUUUUUGGAUAUGAAAAAAUAGCCUAGGAACACUAAAGAGUUAGCCAUUUAGCUGAGGUCCCAAAUAUUAUCUAGAAGAGUAAUAUCUAGUUAAUAUAGUAAAGGGUAGGAUAAAGUCAUCAUGAGGUUGUCAUAUAUUGGCACAUCUGAGGCUCCUUAGAUAGAAAAAUGCAUCAUUGAUGCUUUUCACAAGGUUGUAUCCUUGAAAUACCUUGGACAGAGGAUCAUUGUCUACACACCCCAUGCAUGGGGCACAUCUCAAUUCUUGUCAAAUUUUCUCUACUGAUUUACUUUUUAUGCCACAUGCUACUUAGUGAGAGUCACAUGUUGUGAAUUGACAAAUUAUUUUGCCGUGUAUCAACUUAUUUUAGGUUUACUAAUAAAGUAUGUAGAUUUUCUAAUAUUUCUUGCUCCUUAAUACAAAUAUGUUUUUGACUCAUCAAACUAGAUCAUAACCAAGCUGCUAAAUAAUGUUCACUUGCUUUAACCAUAUGUUAUCCUUUCUAAAACUUUACUGGGGUAGAUUUUCUUUAGAUGUCAAUUACUACACCAUAGAUUUGGUCAUCUUCUGCUUGGCUUUAUUUGUUGAUCACCAUUUAUGUUUGCUGGAACAUUAAAUUUUACCCUCUUCUUUUAACUGAAAAUAUGAGAGACGGCUACCCUAGCUGAUAUACCAUAAUAUGAUUAAUCCCAGCUCAACUAUCUUCUUGUUGUGACAACUAACCUGCCUCCUAUACUAUUUGGUUUCAGGGAGGACAAUUAGCAAUUAUUAACUUGGAGUCCCAUGCAGCCUUGCUUGCAGCAAAACAAAUGCAUUUUCACAUCUUCAACAUAUGCUGCCACUAAAUAAUGUAUUACUAUAUUAUAAAAUGUCUUGAAAAUGGGUGAUUAUUAAUAGGAGCAUCAACAGACAAUCUUAUAUAUGGGGUAGUAUGGAAUGUGCAAUUGCUGCUACAUGUAUUCAUACAAAAAGAUGUUGAUAUAUUUGAGGCAAUGUAUCUUAUAAUUCAUAACAGUAUAUUAAUUACCUCAGAAUUUUAUCUAUUGUUAAAAUUCACAGUUUUCUUGAUAAACUUCUUCUAGUAUUUGAGAUAUUUGAUCCUAUAACCUUUGAAUCAAUUUAGCAGAGGAUCAAUAGUUAGAAAUCGUAUUUUAUUGUUUUAAUUUUAGAAAAAAAUAAAAUGCCUUUUUGUGGUUAGACUUUUCAUAGGUAAAUUACAAUUGAAUUCUCUCUCACCUCAUUCUUCCUUAUCACUAGAUUUGAGUUUUAAUUGCAAUAUUUCUCAAAGUAAUCCUCAAAUCCUAUUGAAAUCUGCAGUUUGACUCAACUCCAUUCCUUAACCUGCUUGCAAAUUUUAUCUAAACUAAAAUAGUCUUGUCUAAACCACCUUACUAUCAUCCUUCAAUGCCUCAAAAACUUUUGCAAUAGCCAUUUCUAUAGAUUGAAAAGCUACAAAAUCUCCUACACGGUAAAUUUAAGUGUAUGGACUAUCAAAUUUGUCUUCUCUAUGGAGCUUGAUUAUUUCCAAUGCCUUCUUUUUUUACUUCCUACUUAUUUUUUGCAGUUAAUUACAAAUUAGGACAUAACCCAUUAAAUGUUUCAGCCUUUGAUUUCAUCCAUCCUUGCAAUCUAACUGUUUGGAAAACUACUAAAAUCAUGCUAGAGAUUUGGAAAGUCUGUAUAAAAUUAAGUAAUUUUGGUUUUGCUUAUAUCACCAGGACCUGGUUUAAGAUAUAUAUAUAUAUAUAUAUAUAUAUAUAUGUUUCUCGUUUAUUGCUGAAAAGAUAGAUUCAAUUCCAAAUUUUCUUUUGUAUGAUUCAUUUAACACACAUUCAUAAGCAACUUAAAAAGCUAGUCCAAGGAAUGAAGAAGCCAGGAGUUUUACAUGCUAACCCAAUUUCUAGAGAAAAAUAAGAAGAGUUUCACAUGUAUAGGUGUGGCAACCAACAGACCAAUAUACAAUUUACAUUAUUACCGUGCCAAAAUUCCUUUUCAUUUAAUGGUGUUAGGGCUAUUUUGUCAUUGAUAUUAAGUAGCUGGAUAUCCAGAAUUCAUUUUUUUUCCUCCAUAACUUGUUCUUAUGUUUGAGAACCUAUUUAAUUAGACAUAGGAUUGCUAUUGCAUACAUGUUUGAUUAGAUAUUUAAAAAAUCUUUUUGGUCAAAAACUCUCAUUAACUCCUCUGAAUGCUUGUGAGGGGUUUUAUGCAAUAAUUUUAGAAUUGAAAAAAAAAAUUAUGCUUCCCACCUUUCCUACCUUCCUCUCUGUGCAUGUCCAUAUUUGGGUGUUUUAGAAAAAAAUCAUCUUAAGGGACUUUGGACAGUUUUUAUAAGUUGUCUUUAGGUGUUGGCAUAAUUUGGGUUUUAAUGCUUCUUGUGCUAGAUGAAUUCAUUCUCUACAUAGAAUGGUUACAUGUGAAUGGAUUGAUAUUUGUUGUCUAUUCUUCCAUCAUCCAAACUAUAUAUUUAUUGUCUCUAAUUUAAUGCUACUAUUUGAAUUUAAUUUUCAAAUCCACACACUAGAUAUAUAUGCAAAAUGCCACUAGACAUUUUUUUUAAAAGAAAAAUUGAAAAUUAAUCAUGAAUGUUGGUUUGUUUUUUGUAUAGUAAUGAGUCAAAAUGUUGAGAUUAGUAGGGUAAAUUGGACUGACCCCAUCCAAAGAAAGCACUUUAUUGAUCUUUGUCUUCAAGAGGCAAACAAAGCCUUUAGAUCAAGUGGAGGUUUAAAGUCUAGUGUUUGGCCUCAAAUUGCUGAAAAAUUGGAGAAGUUGCUUGGAAAACGCUAUACUUCAAAACAACUGAAGAAUGGGUGGGAUUACAUGAAAAGACAAUAUCUCAUUUUGAGUAAAAUGAUGACUAUGAUAGGAUAUGGUUACAACUUUGUAACCAAAAAUUUUGAUUGGCCAGCUGAAAAAUGGGAAGAAUAUCUAUAGGUAGUUUUCUUAUGGAUUUGAGUGAAUUUUAAAAAUAAUUGUCUUAUAUAUGUAUGCAUAACUAAUUUGUUGUUUAUCUUGUAAAAUAGAAAUAUGCAGAAUCUAAACAAUUCUGUUUUAAACCAUUAGCAAUUGUGGAAGAAUUAGAGGCAUUGUUUGGAGGAGUGUUAGCUACUGGGUCUAAAAUUGGAGCUCUGGAGGAGUGAUAGCUUAUGGGGCUGAGGAAUCAUCAACACAUUCUACAUCUAUGCCUAGCGAAACUUCAAUUAGUUUAGAAGAAGAUGAGAAUUUGCCAAGAAAUACUAAUAAUGAAACAAAAGAUUCUAAGAAAAAACAGAAAAAAGGAAAGAAAGAGCAAACUCAAGAAGAAAUGAAAAGAAUAAUGAAUGUGUUGAAGAAUUUUGAAGGACCCUCAGUCAAAGAAUGCAUGAAGAUUUUGAAGAGGCUCUUGAGUUAUGAGGAUUUAUUAUACUAUGUAACAAUUAAUGUGUUUUGCAAGAAGAAAUAGUAUAGAGAGGUGUGGGUGGAGAUGGAAAGUGACAAAGAGCAAAUGGGAUGGAUUCAAAGCUUGCAAAAAUAAUUUUUUAAAUAUUUGUUUUAGAUUUGUGGAAUACAUAUGGUAUAUGGCUUAUAUGAUGAUUUUAAUUUGGUACAUUUGGUUUGUUUGUUUUGGAUAUUUGAUACAUUUAAACUUUUCCAAUUAUAAGACUUUAUCUCUACAUUUUAUGGAUAUUUGUUACUCAUGCAUUGUUAUAACUAUUUGAUUAUAUUGUUAUGCUUUUAUUUCAUAACUAUUGUUUUUUUAUAAUAGAUAUUCUUAUGGAGAAUCCUUCACAUCACUCAAAUAGUUCAAGUUCAUCAUCAUCAAGUGAAGAUGAAGAUAUAAAGUUAGAAGUGACAAGAGAUUAAAAAAAAAGAUUGGUUGUGUUGUUGCUCCAAUCAUUAAGUGACUCAUCCAUUAAUAAGGAACGAGUCUCUACAUCAUCAUUUAUAGGUUCACUUUUCAUUCAAGAGCUUUUAGAUGGUUCAUCUAGCACAUGUUAUGAACUAAUGCGGAUGGAAAACAUGGAUUUAUUUCUCUAUGUCACAUGUUUCGAGAAAAAUGGUGGCUUGUUGAUAUUAAACAUUUGAAUGUGAAAGAUACCUAGAUUGGGCAGAUGAGGUAAGGGGCACUACGGCCAUCCGGAUGACCUCCUAUCAACAUAGUGCAACUGCCUACUACAACUGAAGAGCCCGACCCUAAGCCUUCAAGGUUAGAACUCUAGUCCUCGGGAAAGUUUUGUAAAACACAACCGAGAAGGAGGCCGAAAAGCUCCAGGCAAAUUGGGAAGGGCCUUAUAUUGUCUCAAAGGCCGGAGAGUCAAGGGCUUACCACCUGAAAAAGUUGGACGGAACGCCCCUACUUCGACCAUGGAAUGUAUCUAACUUAAGGCAAUACUAUCAGUAAAGGAGAAAAAAAAUAAAGUACACAAGAGAAGAUAGUAAAAUGUAUUUUGGUAUUAAAAUAUGAAAUAGUUUUGUAUGUUGGCUGGAUAAAACACGAGGUAUUACAAAUCACUUAGUAAAAAUGAGAGAAAGUUUGUGUCAUUGCCCAUCCGAAGGAUUGGUCACGGGAAGAAUCCCGUCCUAAAUCAAGAAGAGCCAUCGGGUGCCUCACCCUCGUCAUCAGAAGGGAAAGAGAGGGUGUUGUGAGUAAUGUCAUUCUUCUUCAUACAACAACGGUAGCCAAGGAAGUACAUCUUGUCUACCUGCUUCUAGUACUCCACCUCCAACUCCUUCUUCUAGGUUGUGAACCUAGACCGAACUUCCUCUAUCUCCUUCUUCAAUCGAGCAUUCUCUCGUUCAGUGAUUACUACUCAAAAAGGGCUAUUUGAUAGCUUGUAAUUAACUCUUUUAAACACUUUUAAGUAGUAGUUAUUACCUUUUAACCCAAUUAACAUAUUAAGGACCUUUGCAAUCGUUUCUAAUCAAAUUGUGUAAGUUUUGGUGUUUUUGAUAGUAAUUUGAUCACCAAAGAAAUCCGAGAUUGAGGAGAGUUCUUUGGAAUCCAUGGCAAAGAAAUGGAAAGCUCAUAAACAUGAAGAACCAAAGCUUUGAAGCUUUAAAGUCCUUUUCCAUAAACAAAUCAUGAAUGCAAGGAUGAAAGCAAAGAGAAAAAUCUAACAUGAAGAAUCCAAGAGGACAUCAACUGUUUGACACUUUUGGAGCACUUCUUGAAGUCCAUUUGUUGCAUACUAUAUGUCAUUUCGAAUCUCGGGAAGUCAGAAAUCCAACGCUUCAAACCGUUCGCGAAUCGAAGUUGAAAUGAAGAAGUUAAAGCCAUUGGAAGACGAUCACAUCAAGCUGAAGGCCAAUUUCGCAAAGCUGCGAAAUCAACCUUUGGCUGCGAAAUGAUUUCGCAGCCAUCUUGUACGUCUGCGAAAUUUCACAGCCAUUUUGUGCACCUGCGAAAUUCUCCUAAGUGCUUCCAGAUAUUUGCGACCGACAUUUUUUGAUAUUUUGCUUCAGAUAUUUGAUGUCUAAAUCCCAAUUCUCUCCUUGUAAUCCACCAAUUAUAAGAUUCCUUAGUUGUUAAGCAAGAACAAAAGGGUGAAUAACCAUAUAUAUAUUGUUUUGUAAUUUUCAUUUUUAGAUAUAUCUCUCGGGAGCUUGUUCUCGGAGGAAUUUUAUAUAUAGUUUUGAAGGAAGUAAAAUUCAGAGCUUUGCUCUGCCUUACCUACUCACUUUGAUUGUAUUUUUCAUUUACCAGCCAAACAAGCUCUGAGGAUGUUUCUUCAGAGAAUGGGUGGCUAGGCUUUUUGUUUCUUGGAGCUAAGGUAGCCGGGGAAAGGGCCGAAUGCAAGAAUUGGUAGUUUUGUUGUUUCAGCUGUUAAUGAAGAGAAAGUGUAACCCGUUUAUGAUUUCUAUGUUUUUAGUUAACUUAAAACGCCUUCAAUUCACCUAAGCCAACACUUGGUAAGGCAAGUGAUCUCCGUCCAUGGAGAUGCACUAGUUUACCUCUUGCGAGCUUUUGGGAGGUGACCUGAAGGUAGGAUUUUCUAGAAUUGCCAACACUUGGUAAGCUUUUGGACUCUAAGGAGGCAUCCAUUAGUUAUCUCUUGCGAGCUUGAGAAGGGAAGUCCAAGGUUAAUGAUCACCUUGAAUGGCAAAUGCUAGGUGAGAGGCACGAGCCAUUGCAAGAUGCAUCAGUGAGAGGGAAUUAGUGCUGAAAUUCAUAAAAGGGAAGCAUCUAUACAACACCGGUUGGAGAAUGAACUAUAUGUUGAUUCUCCAAUGCGAGGAAAAGAACCAAAGUGACCGGAACUCUGUUUUUGCAUGAGGAGCCUGACCCCAGUGAUCCUAAAACUCCAAGAGACGCUUUUUCUUUAUAAAGUAAUUCCCAUUACUUUCUUUUUAGUUAGCUUGAAACCAAACCUUUUUCAACCAAAGUUUAUGUUUUCUUUUGAAGCUAACCUUGAAAUGAAAAGACACCAAUUCAACUUUGAAUUGGUAUCAGUUGUAAGUUGAAAACCCUUCCCAAUGAACGAUCCUAGAGCCACUAUGAUAUACUAGCUUAUGCUAUCCUAGUGCAUGGUGAUAUAGGUUAUAAAUUUUGUUGAUUACUCCCAUCAGGGGACCAAAAUCAAGGUACACCAGAUGGGAUAUUACGAAUCAUUCAGCCUCCUGACACUUAGCCUCCGUGGCCUCACUCUCUCUCUUCAUCCGCUCAGCCUUAGCCUGGGCUGCUUCCUUCUCCCCCUCCGCCAUCUUUAAAGCCUUGGCUCCAUCAGUAGCAACUUUCUGAGCGGCGACAAGGUCACUCUUCACUUGCUCCAAUUUAGCGUAGAGCUCUUCAAUACUGCUCAUACGGUGGGAGAUGAACGCCCUCAUGCUUUCAGCAACCUCCAGCCGCUUAAAAAGAAUAUCUCGUUGGCGUAUUAAGUUGUGAACUUCGGCCACCACUUGAAAGCAAUACAAAACAAAGGUAGACCGGAUACUGGAGUUUGCAUUACUGUGAAAGAAAGAAAGCACGAAAAAUUACCACUUUCGUGGUCUCUUUGGUCGUGCAAUCCAGAAGUGGCUGAAUGCAGGAGACUACAGACUCGGGAGUGCUGAGUGGAAGCUGAGCUGUAACAAAAACGGGAGGAUCACUGCCUAGGUUCGCUGAGAUCCACUUAGUAAGAGGAAAGAAGUUUGACAUUUUUGUCGGAGGUGGCUCGGCAUCAAUGAAGCAGGGCAUCCAUCCUUACAUCUCCUUCAUUUCCUCCCAACUAGAAAGGACAGUGCAAGAAGGUGUGCCAUUUUGAUCUGUGUCCUUCAUAGCAGGAACUGGGUCUUGUGCCCCGUCUUGAGCUGGAUAAGUCUCCUCUCUGACAGGGGAUAUGGCAGUCGAGACACUACUAGACCCCCCAGCAUUCGAAGGGAGAAUUGGCGUUGGAGGCACCUCCGUGACAGGCUCUUUAUGGACUUCAUCCGGAUGAGGCCUCUUGGCUGGAGGAACGACCACCUUAAUAGGUUUUGACAACCGCUUGCGCAUCCUGUCUUUGAAACCAGCUGUCAGAUCGGCCACCAUCUCUUCCUUCGCCUUUGAUUCGUAUAUGAUGUCGAGUACCACAAGCUCAGGUUCAGAACUCCAAGGGUUUGAGUCGCUCCUUGGAGGAUCCAAGUCACACCUCGAAGGGUCUAAGUCACCUCCAGAGUCCGGAUCAGAAUCGUUCAAAGGUGAAAGGAUAGAAGGAGUAGAAGCAGAAGGCGAUGCAAGCAUAGGGGGCAAUACCUCAACUACCUUAGCUGAAGGCAUCUUCUUCUUCUUGGCUGGAGGACAGGUUGUGGAGGAGAAAGACUGACCCUUCUCUCCCGGAACCUUUCUUAAUGUCCCUUCUUGCCUUUUCUCCUCUCUCUGUUCAAGGCUUUCUUGGCGAGCUUUAGCGUCUGCCUUACACGCUUCCUUGUAGAAGGGGAGGUCUUUCAAGACGUGAUUCUCCCCAAGCACCACAAUUUUAGGGAGCCACCUAGGAAUGAUUGGGAGCACGUACGGCUAAGGCUCCCGAAUGACCGCGAGAAGAUCCCGGGCCGAUAGAAGUGUUUGAUGGUUCUGUUCAAGUGAGGAGAUCACGAACAACUUAUUCAACCGGUCGAACGAGGCCUUCUCCACUCACUCCACUAGGCGGCCCCUUCUCUCUUGAUCUGUGCAGACCAAAAUGAAGAAUGUUAACAUUAGGACAACAUGAGUUCAAUAGAAAGAAGCAGAGGAAAGAGGCGCCCAAGCUUGUCUCUACCAGGAAUCUUCAACGAAAAAUUUGGAUGGAACUCCCUCUCCGGGUGCUCAACAAGGCUUACCCAAGGACCCCGGACCAGAACAUGCCCUUUUGCUCCACCCUUAGUUGAGUCCGGAAGACCAAUCACCAAUUGAAGGGAUGGAAUAUUAGCGAACAUGCUGAAGAUAUUGUUUUUUCCCUUCUUGAUAGUGUAGAUGAAGAGGACCUCUAACAGGGAGAGGUCCAAGUGGAAGAGCAUAUCCAAGAUGUUGCAUUCCAUCAACACUUAGAUAAUGUUGGGGUGGAUGAAGGCGGACAUAAUUUGGGUAAAGUGCAAUAAUUGCUUGAGAAGGGACGAAAGGGGGAAACGGAGCCCCACAUUAAACUGCUCCUUACUAAAGAAGAUACCCUCCUGGGCUACCUUCUCAGUGGACGUCGGGUCUCCAUCCAGUAGGUGAACGGAGAUGCCAUUCUGAAUGUAGAAGCGCUCGCAGAACUCCCGCUUGUUGAGCAGCUCGGUAGGCUUCUUCAAACCAGAGCGCCCGAAGCUCACGCUUGCCCGGACCACCUUCUUACCUUUACCAGCCGCGUUGGAUGAGGCAACAUCCUUUUUUGCUAGCAUGAUGGAGCAUUGGGCCGAGUUGGACCUACACGACACAAUGCCGGGAGUUAGAAAGGAACCAUUCGACCCUACCACCCAAAAGGCGGUGCCCCAGAACACGUGACGAAUUGUCCUACCAGACUCAGGGCACCCGACUCUGCCCAUCAGCAUACAAUCCCACUUAAGGACAUUUUGCUAUGGCACCAAACAACCAAUGUGAAGACUGAUACCAAACAAACUCUAUGGAAUCUCCAAAGGCAAAAAGAAUGGGCCCUAACCCUAAUAGGGGAACAACGAAGCACACCAUUAGCAAUACCUAUUGUCUCAAAAGGAGUACAAAUCCAUUGAUAAGGAUCUCGUAGUAGCCACUUAGCGACCAACCGAGACCCCCAGAGGCCAAAAUCCCUAAUCGCAACAAUCACAAGCAAAACAGAAAACAGAGGGCAGCGGAACAGAAAAGAGAAUGCACCUGGAAAAUGGUUUCAAUGAACGAUGAAGGCGACCUGCAAACAACGUGUAGACCCUCAAUUUUAUCCCUUUAGCACAUGUCUUUAAAUUCGUUUUCAGUGCCCCAUAGUAACUCCUUGGUGGCCCAUUACUACUUGUACGACUUACCUUUUUUUGAGUCACCUCGGAGAUUUUGGUUGAGGGAAUAUCUGACCCCUUAUUGUGACCCUUGGCAGCCCUAAUUUAGACUUAGACUUUUCAUUCAUUUUUAGGAUAGCUUUUAGAUACACUUGGCCCAUUAGGCACCACCCUAGGCCCACUUAGUCUCACCUUAGGCCUGUUUAGGUACACUGAGUCUAUUAAGAUUUUUUUUAGCGUGACUUACAUGACUUACAUAAUUUGCAUGAUUUGCAUUUUUAAUGCUUGCAUGUACUUGAUCUCUUAUUUAUUUAUUUACUUAUUUAUUUAUUAUUAUUUGGUUAGUUAUUUGUUUUUAUUUAUUUAUUUAUUUUAUAGAAUAUUGCAUGAGAUUGAUGAUUAAUUGUGUAAAUUGAUGUCUUAAUUAUUUUUGUGUAACUAUGAUAGACAUAAUGUUUUUAAUUGCAUAAUUUCAAAUUAGUUUUAAUUUUCAAUUUCAUGACCUUUACUAAUUUUAAUUCUCAUUUUAUUUUGGCAUGAGAUUCGAAUGCACACAUUGGAGAAGAUCCUUGAUGUACACGGCUGCAUAUAUGUGGGAAUAUUCUAUGCAACAUGGAAAGGAGAUUUAUAUCCUUAAAGAAAGGAAAGUAGAUCACGGCUAAAUGGAGGAUGGAAAGGAAAUUUAAAAUGUUAAAGAAAGGAAAGCAGAUCACUUAUGAAGGAUGGAAAGAAGAUUUUAUUUAUUUAUUUAUUUAUUCUAAAAAACGGGCUGCCAUCUAUUUGGAAGGAAGACACGGCCACAAGAAAAAGAAAGGAAAGUAGAUGCCCAUAGAAUAAUAUAUGGAAACUUCCAUACAAAAGGGAGAAUUGAAGAGAAAUAGAGGGAAUGAGGUUUUUCAAGAAGGGCAGAUUUGAUUCCAUGAGAAGAAAAGGUGGCAAUCGCAGGAUGGGCAGGGCAGAUAGACAUGGCGGACAUCUAAAAAAAGAGGGAGUUUUGAUUCAUUAAGGCUCACCAUCACACAACCAUAGAAGUGAGGAUGAUUAGGAUGAGAGCAGGAGACUUUUGGAGAGGAAAACGGGUGUAUAGUUUGAGGUAUGAGAAUGGGGUGAUCAUGUUUAUGGAGAGAGAAUCAAUGCAUGGUUCAAGGGAGAAGAAGGCAAAAGGGAAGAGAUAAGAGAACCAGGGGAGCACCUUGAGGAAUGGCUAUUGUAGAUAUCGUAUUCAUAUUUGUCAUCACCUCGUCCUUCGUUCAUUGCUAGCGGUUUCUGGUAUGUUAUUUAUUGCUUAUGCAUAAGUGUUAUUCGUUGCUUACGUACGGAUAUCAUAAGGCGUUUAGUGAUUGUUGAAUCUGGAGAUUUCAUCUGUGGUAAUCCUUAAUCUAUCCAUCUCAUUCAUUUGAGUAUUUAAGAUACACCCCUUUGUUCUCUGUUUUGUUUCUUUUUAUUUCUUGAGGCUCACUGAUAGAAACAUGAUUUGGAGUUUCGCAAAACCUACCGAAAUUAGGCUAUUCUUUUCUAUUGUCUUCAUGCACUUUCUUAUGUUUCUUCCUCAGUUGUUCUUGCUGAAUUUUCAUCUGUGAUUUAUGCCUUCCUUGUAUUUGUUUUUACCCUCAUCAUGCUUUCAAACGCCAUAAUGGAUAUACACGGUUUUCUACAUGCAAAUCAAGGACCCAUAACCAGUGCACAACUCGUCUUAGAAGAAUCUGGAAAGAGAAAAUCCAGAAAGACAAGCAUCUAUAGCUUCUUCUCAAUGACAACUGCAAAUCCAUUGAUUAGAUAUGG
RNAcentral lists this long non-coding RNA (13367 nucleotides) under Vitis vinifera (wine grape). Its description in RNAcentral is "long non-coding RNA (VVIN_LNC004914)". The record is from RNAcentral. Lineage: Eukaryota; Viridiplantae; Streptophyta; Magnoliopsida; Vitales; Vitaceae.